CCUACGGGAGGCAGCAGUGAGGAAUAUUGGUCAAUGGACGAGAGUCUGAACCAGCCAAGUAGCGUGAAGGAUGACUGCCCUAUGGGUUGUAACCUUCUUUUGUAAAGGAAUAAAACGAGUCACGUGUGCCUUUUUGCAUGUACUUUAUGAAUAAGGAUCGGCUAACUCCGUGCCAGCAGCCGCGGUAAUACGGAGGAUCCGAGCGUUAUCCGGAUUUAUUGGGUUUAACGGGAGCGUAGAUGGGUUGUUAAGUCAGUUGUGAAAGUUUGCGGCUCAACCGUAAAAUUGCAAUUGAUACUGGCAGUCUUGAGUACAGUUGAGGUAGGCGGAAUUCGUGGUGUAGCGGUGAAAUGCUUAGAUAUCACGAAGAACCCCGAUGGCGAAGGCAGCUUACUAAACUGUGACUGACAUUGAUGCUCGAAAGUGUGGGUAUCAAACAGGAUUAGAUACCCGAGUAGUC
This 460-nucleotide ribosomal RNA is filed under the name uncultured bacterium. Its description in RNAcentral is "partial 16S ribosomal RNA". It matches the Rfam family "Bacterial small subunit ribosomal RNA", at positions 338 to 795 of the family's 1533-position model. The record is from RNAcentral.